Molecule: long non-coding RNA, 435 nt
Organism: Aricia agestis (brown argus)
Lineage: Eukaryota; Metazoa; Arthropoda; Insecta; Lepidoptera; Lycaenidae
Exons: 2
Source: RefSeq, a predicted model, not a curated record
CUACAUCAGAUGCUUCAACAUGUAUUGGACGUAUAUUUUGUGUUUACUGUGCGCGAUGUGCCUUAUAAUAGACCUAUCGAAGUCCAUCGAACUAAGCCAGUUGGGUGACAAGUUGGUGGACCAGUUGACCGACAAGUCAACUGUUCGCGCCAAGAGAGAAGUCAUCAGCGGCGGCAGCAGAUGCCCCGAUGGGUACAAGAGAGCUGGGCCUUAUUGCAUCAAAAUAAGAUAGGAACACGUGAUAAUGGGACUUCUGUUCCAUCUGCCUGAGUGUGUCGACUACUGAGCUGCUGAAGCCCAAGAACCGGAUGUUGGGAGCACAGCGAAAGUUAUAAAGAGUUUACAGAAAUUUGUUAUUGAAGAUUCAAAGUGGAUAUUUUGGAGAUUAAUGUUACUUAUUGAACUGUUAUUAAUAAAUGUUCAUUUCGUUAAUUA